ACAAAAAAUUGCAUUUCAGUAAAAGUUAAUUUAAUAACAACUGUAAGUAAAAUAGUUCUGAUUCCUUUAGGUCAUUUUUAGAAUCAUGGAUAAUUUAUGCUGGAAGGGACCUUUUGAGGUCAUCUAGUCCAAACCCCUUCUCAAAGCGUGUCUCAUUCCAUCAGAUUGCUCGUGGCUGAACUGAACCCUCCGGAGAUGGAGAUUCUACAGCCUCUGCUGAAUGCUGACAGCUGCAACACAUUGGUCUCAGGUCAGAAGAGCCAGGAGAGCAGUUGCAAUUACUUUCCCAGCAAAGCUCUGCUUCAGGAAACACAUCUCGGAGACACGGUGUGUCCCUGAUACCUCGGUCCCAGUCACUUGCAGAAGAAAGGUUCUGACCCAGACCGGUGCUGGCAGCCUCUCCUUCCACCUCCCUGGGACACCCCUGCUGUGCUAGCGCAGCAGGCCGAGGCUGUGAGGCUGUGAGGCUGUGAGGCUGGCUGUCGGGGCCGCGGGCAGGCGGUGGGACCACACCUGACAGGAGGAGAUGUGAGAAACUGCUGGCCAUGGCGCAAGAAAUGGCUGGACCAGGCAGACCAUAGGGUGAGAAACUGACAAAUUUACAUAUGGGGCUGUGAGGAAUUCACAGGUGGGCUAAGGGGGGGUUAUGUGAGAAACAGCUGAAUUUCA
RNAcentral lists this long non-coding RNA (669 nucleotides) under Calidris pugnax (ruff). RNAcentral describes it as "lncRNA (ENSCPUG00000001421.1)". Lineage: Eukaryota; Metazoa; Chordata; Aves; Charadriiformes; Scolopacidae. The record is from RNAcentral.